RNA transcript from Phodopus roborovskii (desert hamster), 2633 nucleotides. It is a transcript of the gene named vesicle associated membrane protein 4, with no coding region annotated. NCBI's taxonomy places the organism in Eukaryota, Metazoa, Chordata, Mammalia, Rodentia, Cricetidae. The record is from RefSeq and is a predicted model, not a curated record. The transcript is spliced from 9 exons.
UCCCCCUCCCACCCUCCUUCCUCGGCUUCCCGCUCCCUCCCCCGCCCGCCCUGCGCAGCCAGCAGGGAUUGCUGCCCGGAGCUCCUCGGGAGCCUCAGGUGGCAAAUUCUUACUCUGUGGACGAUAGGAGAGUGUUUGUGAGAAGAAAGUAUGCCUCCCAAGUUCAAGCGACACCUAAAUGAUGAUGAUGUUACCGGGUCUGUGAAAAGUGAAAGGAGAAAUCUUUUGGAAGACGAUUCAGAUGAAGAAGAGGACUUUUUUCUACGGGGACCAUCUGGACCAAGAUUUGGGCCUAGAAAUGAUAAAAUUAAGCAUGUUCAGAAUCAGGUGGAUGAAGUUAUUGAUGUAAUGCAAGAAAAUAUUACAAAGGUAAUUGAGAGAGGAGAGAGACUAGAUGAACUGCAGGACAAAUCAGAAAGCUUAUCGGAUAAUGCAACUGCUUUCAGCAACAGAUCCAAACAACUCCGAAGGCAAAUGUGGUGGCGUGGAUGCAAAAUAAAAGCCAUCAUGGCUUUGGCUGCAGCUAUCCUUUUGUUAAUGAUUAUCAUUCUUAUAGUUGUGAAAAACCGUACUUGAUUUGGUGACAGAGAUCCUCAUUAAACAAGAUCUGGGACAAUAAUAAUUAAAGAUUGCUGCAUAAUUUAAAUGAAAUCUAUGUAUAUAACUUUCAAAUUUUCUUUUUCAAGAAACUAAAAGCUCAGAUCAUCCUGCACUUGAAAAAAUGAAGUUUUACCACCAUCAAACCUAUCAUUAUUUAACAACAAUGAAGAUCAACAGAAAAAUUCAAGUAGCUUUGCUAAUGUUAGUUGAUGCCCAGUGAAAUCAGGCCACUACUUCCAUGCCUGAAUCGUGCCCUUUGUGAUUUGUCUAACAGAAGCCUCUUUCCUUGCAGCAGUUGUGGUGAAUGGGUUCUUCCAAUUCAGUGGCCUUUGAUUCCUUUGUCAGAACAAAACCCAUUGGAAAUUGUCCCAAAAUUUUAUAAGCUGGGAAAUUUACUGAUUAAAAGAAGGUCCACUAUUGAUGAUGGGACAUUGUUUAAAACGGAGAAAGAGUAAUACACAUCAGGUACAGAGGUACCUGUGACUGUCAUUGCAGUUCAUUACUGGUCUCUGUGUUAGAAAGUACUGUUGGCCUUUUAGUAGCAGACCAACACCUUUCUGUUCUGGGUAGCAUGCGGGUACCCUGUAAAUACACACAUACACAGGCUGAGGAUCCAUAUGUGGGAAGAGCUUGGUAUCUCUUCUUGCCAUUUCCACAUGUGCUGUGUCCUUGUCAGCACCAGAGCCCAGAUAGAUUUGUAUUCACAACUUGUAUAUAAUUUAUGGUUAGACAAUAUGCAAGAAUUCUUUUCAGUGAUGAACAUAAAUGUCAUUAGUUGUAUUGAGUCAGUGUUAACUAAGUUAAGAACUGUACUAUCGAUCAAAUUUUGUGUUUUCACAUAGAAAUGUUAUUAGUCAAUUUUCUGUGAGUGGUACUAAGAGCAUGAGUUCAUCUAAGCACAUGUUUUGGGAAGGCAGUUGCCAUAGAACAAUGUAAAGACAAUGGGUCAGAAGGAUCAAAAAAGGGCCAUCUCAAUUCAUACAAAUGCCACCCUCCCUUCGACUGAUGGGAGCCUAUUUUGUGUGUCUUGCUUUUUAGACUAGGUGACCCAGGCUGGCCUCAAACUCAUAGAGAGCCACCAGCCUCUGCCUCCCAAGUGCUGGGAUUAAAGGUAUGUGCCACCAUGCCCUGCAGGCUUCUUCUUUUUGAUCAAAGAAAGAAUUCUUGGGCCCAAGUGAUCUUUCCAACUUACUCUCAAAAGUAGCUGAGAUACACGUGGGCACCACCAUGUGCAGAUGGGCCUUCUCUUUAAGCCUGAUGUUAGUCUUAUUCAGAUAUUUAUUUUCAUAUGUCAAGUAGAAUAAGGGAUGGGAGCACACUUUUUUCUGGCUCUUGUUUUAUUUUAUAAAACUACUUAGAACAAGUGAGUACGGAUGAAAAGAAAAACAUUGCUAUUCCAGUUGGGAUGAGUGUAAGCUUGUGAAACAAGGACUGUGCCCUGUGUGUCUCUCAGCAGUGCAGUACCCUGGCAAACACUGGACAAAGGUGUGUGCCGGAGUGGGGGUGGGGUGCUCCAGAAGUCACACUGUGCUGGUGUGAGAGCUGAUUUCCAAUGUGUACUUGAGAGGUCACAUGAGAGACCUAGGUGAUUAUCUAGAGAUAAACAUGUUCUUGUUAUAAUUGAUUAUAGAAAACUUCUGGUUUUACAGUGUUGCAGUAGCUUCUUUUCACUUGAAAAGAUUAUGAAAUAAAAUAUUAUUUUAAAGCUGUAAAUUGCACAUGUCCAAGGAUUUAGUAAAAUAUUAGUGAUAAGAAAUUUCAAGCAUUGCUUUUAUGUCUUAGUUGUAUGUCCUUUUUUUUUUCAUCCCACAAUUCCCGAUUUAACCAUUUUGGCAAGUGCCUUCGACAUUUUAGGAGUAUGAUGGGAGAUGAGCAAAUGUUAGAUGCCAUGCCCCUUUUUCUGGCUUCUCAAUUCCUCAUGACCAUUUAUGUUUUGCAGUGCUACAAAGUUCAGUCCUUUGUUUUUAUAUGGAAUGUAUUUGUAGCUUCUCCAUAGUAAACAGCAAAAUAAACCAUUUUGUAGAAAAUGAAAA